RNAcentral lists this ribosomal RNA (513 nucleotides) under uncultured Planctomycetota bacterium. RNAcentral's name for it is "bacterial SSU rRNA". It matches the Rfam family "Bacterial small subunit ribosomal RNA", at positions 386 to 896 of the family's 1533-position model. Lineage: Bacteria; Pseudomonadati; Planctomycetota. The record is from RNAcentral.
AACGAGCGACGCCGCGUGCGGGAUGAAGGCCUUUGGGUUGUAAACCGCUGUCGAGGGGGAUGAAGGCUGGAGGGUACUCCUUCCAGUUUGACAGAGCCCUGGAGGAAGCACGGGCUAAGUUCGUGCCAGCAGCCGCGGUAAUACGAACUGUGCGAACGUUAUUCGGAAUCACUGGGCUUACAGGGUGCGUAGGCGGCUCUUCAAGUCAGGUGUGAAAGCCCCCGGCUCAACCAGGGAAUUGCGCUUGAAACUGGAGAGCUCGAGUCAGCUAGAGGUGCACGGAACUUCCAGUGGAGCGGUGAAAUGUGUUGAUAUUGGAAGGAACACCGGAGGCGAAAGCGGUGCACUGGGGCUGGUCUGACGCUGAGGCACGAAAGCCAGGGUAGCGAACGGGAUUAGAUACCCCGGUAGUCCUGGCCGUAAACGAUGAGUGCUGGACGGGAGGGGGUUCGCCCUUUCCGGUCGGAGCGAAAGCGGGAAGCACUCCGCCUGGGGAGUAUGGUCGCAAGGCUG